RNAcentral lists this ribosomal RNA (497 nucleotides) under uncultured bacterium. Its description in RNAcentral is "partial 16S ribosomal RNA". It matches the Rfam family "Bacterial small subunit ribosomal RNA", at positions 28 to 507 of the family's 1533-position model. The record is from RNAcentral.
GAUGAACGCUGGCGGCGUGCCUAAUACAUGCAAGUCGAGCGAACAGACGAGGAGCUUGCUCCUCUGACGUUAGCGGCGGACGGGUGAGUAACACGUGGAUAACCUACCUAUAAGACUGGGAUAACUUCGGGAAACCGGAGCUAAUACCGGAUAACAUGUUGAACCGCAUGGUUCAACAGUGAAAGACGGUCUUGCUGUCACUUAUAGAUGGAUCCGCGCCGCAUUAGCUAGUUGGUAAGGUAACGGCUUACCAAGGCAACGAUGCGUAGCCGACCUGAGAGGGUGAUCGGCCACACUGGAACUGAGACACGGUCCAGACUCCUGCGGGAGGCAGCAGUAGGGAAUCUUCCGCAAUGGGCGAAAGCCUGACGGAGCAACGCCGCGUGAGUGAAGAAGGUCUUCGGAUCGUAAAACUCUGUUAUUAGGGAAGAACAAAUGUGUAAGUAACUAUGCACGUCUUGACGGUACCUAAUCAGAAAGCCACGGCUAACUACGUG